This is a long non-coding RNA of Gigantopelta aegis, 540 nucleotides long. RefSeq lists it as uncharacterized. Lineage: Eukaryota; Metazoa; Mollusca; Gastropoda; Neomphalida; Peltospiridae. The record is from RefSeq and is a predicted model, not a curated record. The transcript is spliced from 3 exons.
CUACGUGGAUGACUGGAGGAGAUUAUGUCUUUUCAGCAGUGUCACAACCUGACUGGUAUGUACGUGCCAAUUACCUCAGAUCUCUUCAAGCUGAGGGGGUGUUUACAACACCGUCAGAUGUUGGCCAUGCUAUUUUAAGUUUGGUCAGCGGUAGUGUUAAAUGACGAGGACGUCAUUUCACGGUGGGGGGAAGUGUGUGGCAGAUGAUGUUUUAAUAUUGUGUAAAUAUGUAAUUUGUUAUUUUAAUAUUUCGCAGGUAUUUGUCAGAUAUUGUUGUCUGUCAAAUAGUAUUUAUUCUAUUAGUUUUCUCAGUCAGGUACCCUUUAUCUGAUUGGCUAAUAGCACUGCAUGCUUUUCACGUGCACACACUACAUGAACAGCAGACAUGUUUGACGGGUUUUGACAGGCGACAGAUCAGAAUACAUUAUAGGUUUUCACACUCUUGUUGACCACCGGCAUUGUUUACGCUCGUGUACCACAUACAGGGGCGUUGUUUGCAAUGACAUAAUGAACUUUAUGAAGUAAAUCAUUUCCAAACGU